RNAcentral lists this ribosomal RNA (277 nucleotides) under uncultured Oscillospiraceae bacterium. RNAcentral's name for it is "partial 16S ribosomal RNA". It matches the Rfam family "Bacterial small subunit ribosomal RNA", at positions 62 to 339 of the family's 1533-position model. The record is from RNAcentral. Lineage: Bacteria; Bacillati; Bacillota; Clostridia; Eubacteriales; Oscillospiraceae.
UCGAACGGAAGUUAGAGCUUCGGUUUAACUUUAGCGGCGGACGGGUGAGUAACGCGUGAGGAACCUGCCUUUCAGAGGGGGACAACAGUUGGAAACGACUGCUAAUACCGCAUAACGUAUCUUUGCGGCAUCGUAGAGAUACCAAAGAUUUAUCGCUGAGAGAUGAGCUCGCGUCCAAUUAGCUAGAUGGCGGGGUAAAGGCCCACCAUGGCGACGAUUGGUAGCCGGACUGAGAGGUUGAACGGCCACAUUGGGACUGAGACACGGCCCAGACUCC